Molecule: ribosomal RNA, 253 nt
Filed under: uncultured bacterium
Lineage: Bacteria
Description: partial 16S ribosomal RNA
Rfam family: Bacterial small subunit ribosomal RNA
Source: RNAcentral
UACGAAGGGGGCUAGCGUUGUUCGGAAUUACUGGGCGUAAAGCGCACGUAGGCGGAUAUUUAAGUCAGGGGUGAAAUCCCAGAGCUCAACUCUGGAACUGCCUUUGAUACUGGGUAUCUUGAGUAUGGAAGAGGUUAGUGGAAUUGCGAGUGUAGAGGUGAAAUUCGUAGAUAUUCGCAGGAACACCAGUGGCGAAGGCGGCUACCUGGUCCAUAACUGACGCUGAGGUGCGAAAGCGUGGGGAGCAAACAGG